RNAcentral lists this ribosomal RNA (116 nucleotides) under Escherichia coli. Lineage: Bacteria; Pseudomonadati; Pseudomonadota; Gammaproteobacteria; Enterobacterales; Enterobacteriaceae. The record is from RNAcentral.
CUUGGCGGCCGUAGCGCGGUGGUCCCACCUGACCCCAUGCCGAACUCAGAAGUGAAACGCCGUAGCGCCGAUGGUAGUGUGGGGUUUCCCCAUGCGAGAGUAGGGAACUGCCAGGC